AACGAACGCUGGCGGCAUGCCUAACACAUGCAAGUCGAACGAGACCUUCGGGUCUAGUGGCGCACGGGUGCGUAACGCGUGGGAACCUGCCCUUAGGUUCGGAAUAACUCCCCGAAAGGGGUGCUAAUACCGGAUAAUGUCUUCGGACCAAAGAUUUAUCGCCUUUGGAUGGGCCCGCGUUGGAUUAGCUAGUUGGUAGGGUAAAAGCCUACCAAGGCGACGAUCCAUAGCUGGUCUGAGAGGAUGAUCAGCCACACUGGGACUGAGACACGGCCCAGACUCCUACGGGAGGCAGCAGUGGGGUAUAUUGGACACUGGGCGAAAGCCUGAUCCAGCAAUGCCGCGUGAGUGAUGAAGGCCUUAGGGUUGUAAAGCUCUUUUACCCGGGACGAUAAUGACAGUACCGGGAGAAUAAGCUCCGGCUAACUCCGUG
RNAcentral lists this ribosomal RNA (433 nucleotides) under uncultured bacterium. RNAcentral's name for it is "partial 16S ribosomal RNA". It matches the Rfam family "Bacterial small subunit ribosomal RNA", at positions 29 to 507 of the family's 1533-position model. The record is from RNAcentral.